This 80-nucleotide transfer RNA is filed under the name Megasphaera sp. NM10. Its description in RNAcentral is "tRNA-Arg". The stretch from base 5 to 67 matches the Rfam family "tRNA", at positions 5 to 66 of the family's 71-position model. From Rfam's summary of the family: Transfer RNA (tRNA) molecules are approximately 80 nucleotides in length. Their secondary structure includes four short double-helical elements and three loops (D, anti-codon, and T loops). Lineage: Bacteria; Bacillati; Bacillota; Negativicutes; Veillonellales; Veillonellaceae. The record is from RNAcentral.
GCGCCUAUAGCUCAGGGGAUAGAGCACCGGUCUCCGGAACCGGGUGCGAAGGUUCGAAUCCUUCUUGCUAGGCGACACCA